Molecule: non-coding RNA, 267 nt
Organism: Nicotiana tabacum (common tobacco)
Lineage: Eukaryota; Viridiplantae; Streptophyta; Magnoliopsida; Solanales; Solanaceae
Source: RefSeq, a predicted model, not a curated record
CUCUUCAAAAUUAAAGACGUACGCCAGUCGCCAAUUUAAAGGUGAGGCACGCCGUAGCAAAACCUACAUGCUUAACAAUAAUGUUGCAACAAUCUCUGCUAGUCCGCCCUGCCACGGUCUCCGACCAUCCCCAAGUAACUUCUGUUCUUACCCAGCAGGUUUCAAGAUUGUUGCAGAAAUAAUUCUUCUCCUUUAAUUUCUUGUCUAUCGGCAAAAAUUUCUGCUUACCAGACCGAUGGAGCACAUCGUCCUUGUGCAUUAUAGAGA